GACGAACGCUGGCGGCGUGCUUAACACAUGCAAGUCGAACGAUGUCGCGAACUUGUGAGUAACGCGUAAUCAACUUGCCCUUCAGAGGGGGACAACAGUUGGACACGACUGCUAAUAUCGCAUCCUGAGGGCGGGGAGUGCGUCUGAUUCGCUAGUUGGAGGGGUACAGGCCCACCAAGGCGAUGAACAGUAGCCGGUCUGAGAGGAUGAACGGGCACAUUGGGACUGAGACACGGCCCAGACUCCUACGGGAGGCAGCAGUGGGGAAUCUUCCGCAAUGGACGAAAGUCUGACGGAGCAACGCCGCGUGAGUGAUGACGGCCUUCGGGUUGUAAAGCUCUGUUAAUCGGGACGCGGUACCGGAAUAGAAAGCCACGGCUAACUACGUGCCAGCAGCCGCGGUAAUAC
Molecule: ribosomal RNA, 408 nt
Filed under: uncultured bacterium
Lineage: Bacteria
Description: partial 16S ribosomal RNA
Rfam family: Bacterial small subunit ribosomal RNA
Source: RNAcentral